GAGGCGGCUCGCGGCGGCGCAACGGCCUAGGGCCGGGCCCGGCAGAUGGCGGCCCUUCUGAGGGGAGCGGGACGGUGGCUGGUGGCGGCCGGGAAAAGCAGGGUGCCGCCCGGACACCCUUCGUCUGGCGUGUGGGCCCCGUCCCUACGGCAAGGAGACAUCCUCGUUUUACAGCCCGGCCCCGGAGGAGGCCGGCAGAGGAGGCCCCGGAGGAGGGCAGAGACGUUUUUAAGCUCAGGCCUCGUGAGUGAGCACAGCGAGCCGUUGGGGAUUUGGGUCAGGGAGAGCCGGGAAACGCUUUACUCAAUCCCAUUUGUGAAUUAAACUAAAGCAUGGGCUUAGCAUCCAUUCUGCAGGUUUAAUGAAGUUUUAACGGGUGGGGCCUGGCUCUCGUUAACUUGGAUGAACUUUCCGGAGUGCUCCAGGGUGGGGAACUUCAAAGGACGCUUGCGAGGCCCCCGGCCAAGCUACAAGCUGCUGUCUCCCAACUGCCAGGCUAGGCCUCCAGCCCUCCUGGCCCGAGAGAUUCCUGCUUCUCUUCCCUCUUCCUGGCGCUACUGAGGAAUACUUAGCCUCUUUGUGCUUCCCGUGAAAACCUGGUGGUGGUCCUGAAAAAUAGGCAAACAAUUAUUUAAAAUCUGUCUGAAACCUGGGCUGUUUCAACAACCUUUUUAUAAAAACAAAGUAUUAAUUGUUAAAAGCUUGGUACUUGUGAAAGCAGCAUUUCUCCUGCCAAGAAUUUUUUGCUCUCAUAGGACAGAGGCAAUGUAAAUCUAACAAAGCACAUGGAGCAAAGACUUUGGAAAGAUUUACCCAGUUAUUUGACAGGCAGAGGAAUUGCCUCAUUUUGCUUUCUAUUUUAAUAACGAGCUGCUCUUCUCACUUCCCUGGAUUGAACAGGCUGAUCUCACCAGUAAGCUAUUUUUCCACUCAAGCAUCUGCCCAGCCAACUUGGAGUGAGACUGUAACGGCAGGCUGGGUUCUUUUAUUGUUGAGCAGUAAUUAAGAUCCCAGAUGUUGCAGAUCUGCACCUGUACAGCCUUAUUUUUAUCAGCCAGGCAGGCACGGCUGUAACUGCAGCUGGAAUGUAACACAGCAGCAUUACUUACUGCGUGGCUGACUGCAUUCUGCUGAUGCGACAGUUGCCUGCUGCAUCAGACGUUGCCACUGCUAGUAACAGGCCACAUGCUUUGAACUGAGUUUGCAAGGCCUCACACUGAGUCAUGCUGGGCUUGCUUCAGCUGCAUAUUAGCUGACCUGCGUGCAAGGUUGUUUUUUUUAACUUAGCUGUAACAGCAUUUUUUCUACUGACCAGGUGAUUAUAGAUUUGUUUUUAUUUUUGCUUAUUCUUGUAUGUUACACCAUGGUUGUGUACAGACAGGAGUAACAAGUAGUUGUUCUGUGUAGAACAAGUUACAACCAACAUAAUGGUGUAGCGUGGAGAAAUACAGGCCUGUGAUAAUAGCAGAGGCCUUGAGAGGGAAAUGCAGGAUGCGGUGGGGAGGAGUGCAGGCACAAGAUGACAAAUGAUGAGACGCAGUCUUGCCGCUGGAGACCCCGCAGCUGUAAAUAAAUCAAAUCUUUUUCCAUUAAAGAGAAAUACAGACCUAGAGUUGGACAAAACCACAUUUUUAUGAAUAAUGGAACAAAGAACAAGUUUCUAGCAUAUGCAAGAUAUAUAAUGUACUGUAAAUUUGGAUAUCAUGUGGACUUGCAAACCAGUGAUGAAACAGCAAGGUGUGAAAGGCUGCUGGCAAACAUAAAAAAGACCCCAAGUGGAUCCCAGAGUGAGAAGGGUGCAGCCAUCAGCAUCACAGCAAAACAUCCCAUGAUGUGGUGACCAGCCUUCGUACCCCUGCCACCAGGCUGAAGCCACCAACCUGAAGAUCACAAGAAGCAGUGGUGGGGUGAGCAUAACACCUGGAAAGGGAGAAGAAGCUAGGAAGUACCCAGGAGAGAAAGUACCUUCCAAUGGUGCCAUGUGCUCCUCUCACUGGAAUGAUGCUAGCAACAGCUCAGCAACCAGCUUGAUCUCCUGGGCCAGAGCCUGAGACAGCCACUUCUGGUGACCUCGGCAGAACCCCUACAAACAUGCCAACUUCUUCAGAUGUAUUCGGUGUCACACCCCUGCUCAGUGGAUUUCAAAUGCCCAGUGCAUGGGCCUCUGCAAGCCACCCUCCUCUAGGGCUCACCUUAUCCUCACAUUGACUUAGGAGGACUUUUGCUCCUCUAAGAACUAGGCAUGUACUGAGCGCCAGCUGAGGGUUUCUCCCAGAAAAAGGUAUAUAGACUGAGCUCAGCUUUAAAGGACAUCAGCAUAAUGCAGGACAGGCAGGUUAACAACUUCAGGAUUUGAAUUCAGUAUUUCGAAAACUUUGUCCAGUAAAAAUCCUCACAAAGAAGGGUAGGAUUGCAUAGACAGCUGUGGUUCGAGUCACUUCAUUUGGUCCCAGCUAGCAAAGUUCAAAACCCAAAGCAAAUUCUUAGUGAUUUUCAGAAGAUUUAAAAAGCUGAAGUGACAUUAUGUAUGUUAAUCAAACAGCACAAACCAGUUCCCCUGCAAACUUCUGAAUGCUAAGCACAAGUGUUAAAUAAAACUACCUUUGCAGUGGAUUUCAUCUUUGUAUAGACCUCAUUUAACACUGUGUGACACUACGACAGCCAAAUAUUUCUGUCUUUUUGGAACGAACAUAUAAAUUGAUUUAGUUCUCUCAACAGAAUGGUUUUAAUGGCAUAGAAGGCAAUAGGUAUUACUGCCUGAAGAACUCUUUUUAUUAUUUAGAAGCCUAGCUCUCCACACAUCAAGAAAUUCUUUGGCAUUUAUUCCUCCAAGCCGAUGAGAUGUUCGGCCAGUGAAUAUUCACUUUCCUCCCAAAGAGGACUGCUUUUCCCAGGGCUCCUUACAACACCCCCUGCGUCCCCAGCGAGUGCCUGCUGGCACACACAGACGUGCCACACCAAGCGUGGCAACCCCAGGCUCAACCUAUAGCUGCAAAUUAAGUUCAGUUUUCACAGCUAGAAUAAAGUGGAAUUAGUAAAUCAAUCUACCCAUGGAUGAGGACUUCAAGCAGUUGCAUUAUUUAGAAAGGUUUCACUUUUAUUUGCAGUAAGACUAUCUGCACCUACUGAUGUUGCAAAUGUCGUAGUAAGUUACAGCCCCUUAGAAAGGGAACCUUAAGGGCAGGUUAAAAAGAAGAAUAUGAAUGGCUUCUGUUCCAGUAGCAUCCUUUACCCAAAGACAAAUUAACAUAUUACACAGAGGAGGAGAAGCAGCAGCAUCAAGUAUUACAUUGGCCUGGUUUUGAAAACACUUGGCUAGCAGGACUCAGGGCAAAUUCCAACCUUAUUAUCUUCAAAAACACAAUUAAUGAGACAUCCUAUAAGGAAGGGCUUGAUGCAGAAGAGUGGCAGCUACUUAAGUCCUUCUUAUCUUUUGAACUCAAAUACACAGUUUUGGUUUCCUUGCCAUUUAAACAAGGAAAGUACCACAUUAAUUAAAAAAAAAGAGAAAGAACUUUACUGAAAAAGCCACGUGGGCUUGCCUGUAUCUAGCAGCAGCCAACCAAGUGUGCCUGGACUUCUGCUUACUCAACAGAGGAAAUAGUCAUGCCCAGAAAGUAAAAAUGAGGGAAGACAGAAUACUUGCUAGUGCAUCUGACACCAAAGACAUCUUCAUCAAUUCAGUGAGGUACUUGAGCCUGAAAACACGGUUAAAAGCAAGAACUCCCAUUAGAAUAGUCUGUUACAGAAAGUUAAAAAAAUGUAACAGCCUAAAAAUGGUAAGAGAAUUCCCACCAUCUUCUUCUCCACCCAGAAGCGUCCAGGUGAUGACAAUUGAGCUCCCGAGCGGAAUCGCAGUAUUCCAGCUGCAGGCCUGGCACAGGGCUGGGCUCAGGGGGGGAAGGAGGAAGCUUUUAUACCUUUGUGAUCACCGUCCAGUCUUCUGCCCAGAGAGACUCCAUCUGCUGCCAGCACAACACCAUCGCCCAGCUUCAGAAACCAUCUCCAGCUCCACCACCCGCUUUUACAUUAAACUUCUGAUACGUCAGUGCUGUACAGAUCAUGCCAGCUCAAUUUGUUAUGCAAAUCAUGCAUAUCAAAACAGUCCGGUAGUGAAAUAAUUUAUGCGAAAGGCUAUGACUCCCAAAUCUUCUACAGAAGCUUCACAGUUGUCCUGUUUAUCUGAAAAUGCUGAUGUCAUCUCAGAGCAUCCACACAUAAUGCUUACAGUACGUAUCUACCAAUAAAAUAACCAAAAGGAAA
Long non-coding RNA from Calidris pugnax (ruff), 4263 nucleotides. RefSeq lists it as uncharacterized. The record is from RefSeq and is a predicted model, not a curated record. NCBI's taxonomy places the organism in Eukaryota, Metazoa, Chordata, Aves, Charadriiformes, Scolopacidae. The transcript has 3 exons.